CAGGCCUAACACAUGCAAGUCGAGCGGGCCCUUCGGGGUCAGCGGCGGACGGGUGAGUAACGCGUGGGAACGUGCCUUCUGGUCUGGAAUAACCCUGGGAAACUAGGGCUAAUACCGGAUACGCCCUUUUGGGGAAAGGUUUACUGCCGGAAGAUCGGCCCGCGUCUGAUUAGCUAGUUGGCAGGGUAACGGCCUACCAAGGCUUUGAUCAGUCGGGGUUCUGAGAGGAUUGGCCCCCACAUGGGUACUGAGAGACGGACCCAACUCCUACGGGAGGCAGCAGUAGGGAAUAUUGGGCAAUGGGCGAGAGCCUGACCCAGCCAUGCCGCGUGGAGGAUGACGGCGCUCAGCGUUGUAAACUCCUUUUAUCAAGGAAGAAUGGAUGGCCUGCGGGUCAUUGUGACGGUACUUGAGGAAUAAGCACCGGCUAACUCCGUGCCAGCAGCCGCGGUAAU
Molecule: ribosomal RNA, 455 nt
Filed under: uncultured bacterium
Lineage: Bacteria
Description: bacterial SSU rRNA
Rfam family: Bacterial small subunit ribosomal RNA
Source: RNAcentral